Molecule: ribosomal RNA, 501 nt
Filed under: Amphisamytha bioculata
Lineage: Eukaryota; Metazoa; Annelida; Polychaeta; Terebellida; Ampharetidae
Description: partial 16S ribosomal RNA
Rfam family: Bacterial large subunit ribosomal RNA
Source: RNAcentral
UGCGGUAUCCUGACCGUGCWAAGGUAGCGUGAUAAGUUGCCCUUUAAUUGGGGGCUUGUAUGAACGGAUCUACGAAAAUUUCGCUGUCUCUCUUAUAGAUAUAGAAAUUAAUACAUAAGUGAAAAAUCUUAUAUUUAUUUAUAGGACAAAAAGACCCCAUAGAGCUCUGUUUAUAAUAUAUACUUUAUGAUAAUAAUAUUUAUAUUUCCAUUUAUAAAGUUAAAAUAAAAUUAACUGGGGCGGUUGAAGAAAAAUAAAUCUUCUUUUUUAUUUAAGGUACUAACUUACCACACCUAAUUGAGCCAAAAUAAUUUCAUAAAUUUUGAUAAAAGGAAUAGCUACCUUGGGGAUAACAGAUUCAUCCUUCUUAAGAGUUCACAUUGACAGAAGGGUUUGAUACCUCGAUGUUGGCUUAGGGUAUCCUAAAGGUUUGCAGAAGCCUUUAAGGGUAGGUUUGUUCAACCUUUAAAACCCCUACAUGAUCUGAGUUCAAACCGGAGA